UAACACGUGGGCAAUCUGCCCUUCACUCUGGGACAAGCCCUGGAAACGGGGUCUAAUACCGGAUACGAGGUUCGCAGGCAUCUGUGAACUUGGAAAGCUCCGGCGGUGAAGGAUGAGCCCGCGGCCUAUCAGCUUGUUGGUGAGGUAAUGGCUCACCAAGGCGACGACGGGUAGCCGGCCUGAGAGGGCGACCGGCCACACUGGGACUGACACACGGCCCACACUCCUACGGGAGGCAGCAGGGGGGAAUAUUGCACAGUGGGCGAAAGCCUGAUGCAGCCACCCCGCGUGAGGGAUGACGGCCUUCGGGUUGUAAACCUCUUUCAGCAGGAAAGAAGCGCAAGUGACGGUACCUGCAAAAGAAGCGCCGGCUAACUACGUGCCAGCAGCCGCGGUAAUACGUAGGGCGCAAGCGUUGUCCGGAAUUAUUGGGCGUAAAGAGCUCGUAGGCGGCUUGUCACGUCGAUUGUGAAAGCCCGAGGCUUAACCUCGGGUCUGCAGUCUAUACGGGCUAGCUAGAGUGUGGUAGGGGAGAUCGGAAUUCCUGGUGUAGCGGUGAAAUGCACAUAUAUCAGAGAGGAACACCGGUGGAGAAGGCAGAUCUCUGGGCCAUUACUGACUCUGAGGAGCAAAAGCGUGGGGAGCAAACAGGAUUAUAUACCAAAGCGUGGGGAGCGAACAGGAUUAGAUACCCUGGUAGUCCACGCCGUAAACGGUGGGAACUAGGUGUUGGCGACAUUCCACGUCGUCGGUGCCGCAGCUAACGCAUUAAGUUCCCCGCCUGGGGAGUACGGCCGCAAGGCUAAAACUCAAAGGAAUUGACGGGGGCCCGCACAAGCGGCGGAGCAUGUGGCUUAAUUCGACGCAACGCGAAGAACCUUACCAAGGCUUGACAUACACCGGAAACGUCUGGAGACAGGCGCCCCCUUGUGGUCGGUGUACAGGUGGUGCAUGGCUGUCGUCAGCUCGUGUCGUGAGAUGUUGGGUUAAGUCCCGCAACGAGCGCAACCCUUGUUCUGUGUUGCCAGCAUGCCCUUCGGGGUGAUGGGGACUCACAGGAGACCGCCGGGGUCAACUCGGAGGAAGGUGGGGACGACGUCAAGUCAUCAUGCCCCUUAUGUCUUGGGCUGCACACGUGCUACAAUGGCCGGUACAAAGAGCUGCGAUACCGUGAGGUGGAGCGAAUCUCAAAAAGCCGGUCUCAGUUCGGAUUG
RNAcentral lists this ribosomal RNA (1214 nucleotides) under Streptomyces sp. RNAcentral's name for it is "bacterial SSU rRNA". It matches the Rfam family "Bacterial small subunit ribosomal RNA", at positions 111 to 1300 of the family's 1533-position model. The record is from RNAcentral. Lineage: Bacteria; Bacillati; Actinomycetota; Actinomycetes; Kitasatosporales; Streptomycetaceae.